AUGUGCCAGCACAGCAUCGAGAAGGGGGGAAAGAAAGAGAAGUGGAAACGCAGCAACUGCAAUCAGAUCCCGUUCCACACCACGGGAGCACAUUCUCCUCAUAGUGAAGCAAAACUUGGGGCAGAAAACAAAACAAUAUUUGCCAAUUUGGCUUUAGCGCAAAUCCAACUCUUUGUUCUUUUGCACACAUCAAAUGUGAGCCUCUCUCACCUCUGGCAGGAGCCUGGCACAGCACAAAACACACCCAGGUGCAUCCUGGCAGACAGAUUUUAACUUCCCUCUCUACACAGAAGCUUGAUCUACACAGCAGAGAAGAAAAUCCCCACAUCCUUUAUCGAGCAGCUGAAUUUUGGAAAGUUUUAGACAAGCUUUUGGGUACAGCCUUUUAUCAUCUCUGGUAACGAAACAACAACUCAAGCUAAGCACAGGUUAAAAGCAAUUUCUCUUAGUUUAAUCUCAUUAUGUUAAUCAACUCUUUUACUACAUGCAUAACAGCUGCAGCAGCAAUGAAUAACUUCAUUUCAGCGCCUUAUAAAAUGUUCUUUUUUCUUUGCACAUCCUACUCAUCUGCUCUAGAACACACCACAGCUGGUGGCUUACAGCUACGGGUUAAAAUCUAGCACAGAGCUCCCAGGCACCCCAUUCAUCUGUCACUUGGAUGGAUGUACACAGGAACUUUCCUUUUUAUAAACACAGAUUUUAUCCUGGUGGAGAAAAAGAGGGAGAAAAGGUAGCACCAGUUCCACAGUGAAAAGCAGACCUACAGAUUUGGAAUUAAAUAUGAAGACCAAGCUGUCACAUCCUAAACACAUCUACUGUUAGAGCUUUAGUUUGAAGCAUUAAAUUAGCACCAACAAAAGGCAUCUAAAUCAUGAAAACACUAAAAAUAAAAGUGGAAAUACGUUAUUAGUCUCA
Molecule: long non-coding RNA, 915 nt
Filed under: Cyanistes caeruleus (blue tit)
Lineage: Eukaryota; Metazoa; Chordata; Aves; Passeriformes; Paridae
Description: lncRNA (ENSCCEG00000004388.1)
Source: RNAcentral